This is a long non-coding RNA of Dama dama (fallow deer), 3873 nucleotides long. RefSeq lists it as uncharacterized. The record is from RefSeq and is a predicted model, not a curated record. The transcript has 9 exons. NCBI's taxonomy places the organism in Eukaryota, Metazoa, Chordata, Mammalia, Artiodactyla, Cervidae.
GGAUUUGGGUCUGAGUUCUGGGAGACUGGAGGUGCCUCUAACUCGACUGAGCGAGGUCACUGAUGGAGUGGAUUUGGAGGGCAGCUCAGAAAUUCGCUUCCAGACGUGUUAGCACAUUAGACAUUCGUGUGGAGCUGUUGAGUGGGCUGCAGGAUAUACAAGGUUCAGAGAGGAGGUCCAGCGAGUAGUACAGAUGUCCUUGGCACACAGAUGACAUUUUAAACCAUGGACAUGAUGAGAACUACGGGAAGUGACUGCACGGUAAAGCUUGAUCUGAGCUCUGGGACAGUCUAGUGCGUAGACCUUGGGGAGACGGAGUAAACAUCAGGGAGCUGGGCAGGAGGAGCCCUGACCGUGAUGAGGAGGAAAAACCAGAGAAUGUCCUGUCCUGGAUUCAAGUGACAAGAGUCUUUCCAUGAAGGAAGCAAGAGGGGGUCUACCCCCAGAGUGUUCUGUGAAUAUUACUCCCUUCUGCAAGCUGGUAUCACCAACGCAGCCAGGGAGCCAGGCCCUGAACUGUCCCAACUGGCCCCAUCCUGCUCCGUGCCCCAGAGGAGUCCCACAGUGCUUUCUGACCUGCAGCGGGGGAAACACCCUGCAGCGGGGGAAACACCGUGGCUGUUGCUUUUUAACCACUGACCAACGUGAUACAUUAAGGUAGCUGAUGGUGUCACAGGCAUCCGGGCCCUCUGGGAGCUGAUAUAUUUUUUCAACCCUGCUCUGCCUGCCAGCUGGUAGACACAUCCCCAGAGGAAGGCAGGUCUGUGUCUCGGACUGAACCCCCAUGCAGGUCGGGGUUGAGCGGACUCUCUGUUGCCCGCCAUGGGGCUGUUCUCCUUCGCGUCCAGGCUCGUGGAGAUCCAAGUCAGCAAUGCUGGCUGGGGCUGUCCGACUUGCCCAUCACCUUGGGAACAAGGAGAUGAAGGCAUUCUGGAUUUUGUGACGGUUUCUCAUCUGGCUUUUUAAAAAAACCCAUCAACGCGUUAAGACCCAAGGCUCUGGGAGCAUACUGUAGCCUUUAAAGAGAGCCCUGUGCCUGGAUCCCCUGAAAUGUAUGCUGGGGUUAAUAUGCUGAAAGGUGGCUUCAGAAGCAAAGUGACAUCAAGGUCCUCAAUUCUGUAACUGGCCAUGGCCAUCAUCACUGUCUUCAGGUGAUAAGUGGCUGACUCCAUCACACCCACCCUGCACACUCUCCUCCUGACACAACUGACCUUCCCGUUGUGCCUGAGGGACGGAGAGACUUUCCGUGGCAGAAGGUGGUUGGACCCCACGUGGACACAUGCUGUUUACGGGGGGCGGCAAUCUCUCUCUCUCUCUCUGUGUUGACCUGGUGGUAUUCGCCACCAGCGUGUCCGCCCACCCUCACUGAGGGUAGCCAAGUGGCCCAGGGGGACCAGUGGAGUCCUCUAACCCCAGUCACUGGUCAGAGAUGGGCAAGUGACUGAGUGUGGACAAGUGGCUUUCUCAGUACAAGGCUGUUCACUUUCUCCUGAGGAGGUGACCACCAGGGGCAGGAAGGAAAGGCAGAGAUGAAAAGAGAACCAGCAAGCUCCUUGUUUGCUCUCCUGCGAGGCAGGUGCUAUCAUGAAAAACCCUCUAGUUUAUAAAAGAACAUGCAUACAUGCUAAGUCAGUUACCGCGCCCUCCCCUCCAGGGGAUCUUCCUGACCCAGGGAUCGAACCCAUGUCUCUUACAUCUCCUGUGUUGCAGGUGGGUUCCUUACCACUAGCACCACCUGGGAAGCCCUUAUAAAAGAACAGUUGGGUCGAAGUCAUGUUUCUGGAAGCUGGAAUAAAUUAAAGUUAGCUGCUCAGUUGUGGGGAAGACAUUUAAGGUUUUUCAUUCACCUGAGCUCCCCAUACCCUUGCUUUUCUUUUUUCCCUUCUGAUAAGAAUUACCUCCCUGAAGUUUCUAAGAGCUGGCCUGGGUUAGAGUUCCUGGAGGAGACCAGGUGGAACAUCCCCAUCUCAAAGGAGCCGGGAAAGCAUGGGAGUUCCUCCAAGAAGGACUUUCCCUUCCUAAAUCCAGGUCUUUUAUAAUGUCUGCACCUCCCCCCUUUUGAGAUGAAGAGGGGUUGCUUUGAAUGCCUUCUAGAACUGCAUUUCUGUUCUUGUAGAGACUAGGUUUGUAAGACAGGACUGUUUCUAAUUCCACAAGGAAUUGGGUUGCAGCUUAAAUGAACGAAGCCAACAAGAUUUUUUUUACUUCGUUGAAUUUUUUUUUUUUUUUAACAGCGGUGACAGCCUUGGGAUCCCAAGAGGACUUCACAGUCCAAGAUUCCUGUUUUGAGUUCUCUCCAGCUUUAUUCCGGAUUUGGACAAAGAUUGUCCUUCUGAGCCUGCAGAUGGGAUCCUGGUCAAUCCAGCAGACACCAGCCAGGGUGAGCAUUCUGACCAGAGUCAGUUCUGAAUCUGCCUACCAUGGCCAGCUGAGAGAGAAAGAACCCAUCUAAAAAUCGCUGGUCAUCUAUUGUCAAUUCCUCCUCAAGUUGAAGAAACUUACGCUGAACAAGAUUACAACCUGCCACUGAUACUGCUCGUCCACUACUUCCUGGAGAAUGUGUCCACUGAGAAAGACAGCAGCUGAAGGACUCCUGCUCCCCUCCUGGGAAACGACCUUUUCUGGUACUGCUCACCAGUCCCUGCACAGCUAAGCUUGAGAACCUCCGUCCCACCUGCAAGGAGUCACAGGACCUGAAUGGACAGCAGAGCCAUCUGCGAUCUCACCCUCAGGCUCUCCUCGCAGCAGAAGCAGAAGGGAGAUUCAUGGAAAGUAACCUACCACGAGCUCUUGAUGGCCACAUGGCUGCCCAGUCACAAGGAUCAAACCUUGGGUAGAGACGUCACAAUGGAUGAAGGCUCCACCUACCUUCUGGUCCCUCCUGCACAAAAGCUGGCAAUCUCAAACCAAACUGACUAGGGAGAGAAGUGGCCACCACGGAGAUCCCUCCUCCCCUGGCCAAGAGCUGAUGCAAAGGAGGCCAUGAUCGGCAGUCUCUCCUUACCUCUUGAAGAUACUGCAGACCCUGCUGGUAAAGCAACAGCUGCCCAAUAAAAAAUCCCUAGACUGACCAGAGUUGUUCCUGAUGAGACAAGCCUCUGACAGCCUCUAGCUGAGCAAGGAGGUGUCUGAGCUGUGACCCACACCCCUGCACCUGGAUCAACACUUCGGGGGAAGGUGAGACUCAGCCACAGAAGAUUACUGAACAAGCCCAGCACUUUCUUAGGCCAACAGCCCAACCAACACAGUCUGUCUUUGGGGGUCAUUCUGUUUACAAGAGUAGUUACCAUAGGGUGCUGUGUUCUCUCAGAAGCUUUAAAUACAGCUUUGCAGCCACAGGCAACCAAGCACAUGCUCUCCCUCAAACAGAACAUCAGAAAAGGAGCAGAAUGACUGACUGAAAGAGUGUGAACCCAGGGUCACGGCCUGUGAAGACCACCCAGAGAUUCAGCGAAAAGCCGGGAAGAACUCCAGAGCCAUAGCUGGGGGUAGCCCUGCUGCCUUAUAUUUGGAUCACUGAUGAAAAGGGGGGAACUGUUAAAAACAGCAGACCCAAAAUGCAGUUGUAUAGGCUAAGCUCCACGUCAUCAAACCAAGACUUGACUUUACAGUUUCAGCUCCCCCUGGAAUGGAAUCCCCCAAUCUGCACGAUGAGGACAUCACCUGCCAGACCCCGCCGUCCCCUAAAGGAAAGCAACUGGGCCGUCACCACCUGCCUCUUCAGCUGGUGUAACUGCCUGUGCCUGCCUGCUCCCUCCUGCCUGCACGCCCCUGCUUCUGUGCAGCAUCUUGGAGCUCCUUGCUUUCUGCUGGACUGGAAGCUCCUUGAUUCACAAAUCACUGAAAUAAAGCCAGUAGGAUCUUUCAGAUUUA